AUUGAACGCUGGCGGUAUGCUUAACACAUGCAAGUCGAACGGUAACAGCGAGAGCUUGCUCUCGGCUGACGAGUGGCGGACGGGUGAGUAACGCGUGGGAAUCUACCCAGUAGCGGGGGACAACUCGGGGAAACUCGAGCUAAUACCGCAUACGCCCUUCGGGGGAAAGGCUUCGGCCACUAUUGGAUGAGCCCGCGUUGGAUUAGUUUGUUGGUGGGGUAACGGCCUACCAAGACUGCGAUCCAUAGCUGGUCUGAGAGGACGAUCAGCCACACUGGGACUGAGACACGGCCCAG
This 296-nucleotide ribosomal RNA is filed under the name uncultured bacterium. RNAcentral's name for it is "partial 16S ribosomal RNA". It matches the Rfam family "Bacterial small subunit ribosomal RNA", at positions 30 to 334 of the family's 1533-position model. The record is from RNAcentral.